Molecule: long non-coding RNA, 1163 nt
Filed under: Numida meleagris (helmeted guineafowl)
Lineage: Eukaryota; Metazoa; Chordata; Aves; Galliformes; Numididae
Description: lncRNA (ENSNMEG00000001493.1)
Source: RNAcentral
AAGGUGACACAGCGGGAGAGCUGGACUUCAGCGGGCUGCUCAAGAAGAGGUGAGCUAUGGGGCGCUAUGGGGCACGCUAUGGGGCAUGCUAUGGGGCACGCUAUGGGGUCUCUAUGGGGUCUCUAUGGGGUCGCAGUGGGGCACACUAUGGGGCAUGCUAUGGGGUCGCUGUGGGGCACGCUAUGGGGACUGUAUGGGGUCACUGUGGGGCACACUAUGGGGUCUCUAUGGGGUCGCUGUGGGACACGCUAUGGGGCACACUAUGGGGUCUCUGUGGGGUCUCUGUGGGGUCUCUAUGAUUCCUGAUGGGUCCCUAUGGGUCUCUAUGGGUCUCUAUGGGUCCCUAUGUGUCCCUAUGUGUCCCCAUGUGUCCCCAUGUGUCCCUAUGGGUCCCUAUGGGUCUCUAUGGGUCCCUAUGUGUCUCUAUGGGGUCCCUAUGGGUCCCUAUGGGUCCCUAUGAUUCCCUAUGAUUCCCAAUGGGUCCCUAUGGGGUCCCAAUGGGGUCUCUAUGGGUCCCUAUGGGUCCCUAUGGGUCUCUAUGAUUCCCAAUGGGUCCCUAUGGGUCCCUAUGAUUCCCAAUGGGUCCCUAUGGGUCCCUAUGAUUCCCAAUGGGUCCCUAUGGGUCUCUAUGGGGUCUCUAUGGGUCCCUAUGGGUCUCUAUGGGGUCCCUAUGGGUCCCUAUGGGUCCCUAUGGGUCCCUAUGGGGUCUCUAUGGGUCGCUAUGGGUCUCUAUGAUUCCCAAUGGGUCCCAAUGGGUGUCUAUGAUUCCCAGUGGGUCCCGAUGGGUCCCUAUGAUUCCCAAUGGGUCCCUAUGGGUCUCUAUGGGGUCUCUAUGGGUUGCUAUGGGUCUCUAUGAUUCCCAAUGGGUCCCUAUGGGUCCCUAUGGGUCCCUAUGAUUCCCAAUGGGUCCCUAUGCGUCUCUAUGGGGUCCCUAUGGGUCCCUGUGGGUCCCUAUGUUUCCCAAUGGGUCCCUAUGGGUCCCUAUGGGUCCCUAUGAUUCCCAAUGGGUCCCUAUGGGUCCCUAUGAUUCCCAAUGGGUCCCUAUGGGUCCCUAUGAUUCCCAAUGGGUCCCUAUGGGUCCCUAUGGGUCCCAAUGGGUUGCUAUGGGUCCCUAUGAUUCCCAAUGGGUCCCUAUGGGUCCCUAUGAUUCCCAAUGGGUCCCU